Rosa rugosa (rugosa rose) is the source of this 1454-nucleotide long non-coding RNA. RefSeq lists it as uncharacterized. Lineage: Eukaryota; Viridiplantae; Streptophyta; Magnoliopsida; Rosales; Rosaceae. The record is from RefSeq and is a predicted model, not a curated record. The transcript is spliced from 2 exons.
AUAUAACCAUUUUUCUGGGUUCACAGCUUUCAUUAGCAUUUGAUCAAGUCAAUUCUGCGACAUUGCCAACUGACUUUUAGAACUUCCCCAUCCUCACUAAAGUACUAAACCCUAAAUACAAGGACGACUAACUUUUUGUUUUAGGUAAUGAAACUUCCCUAUUACCAAUUUACCACUAAACCCUAACUAACUUUCAGUUUAGGUAAUGAAACAUCCCCAUUCUCACUAAACCCUGCACACAAAAACAAUUAACAAUUAGUUUCAAUUCCCAUAUUCUUUCUAAACCCUAAAUACAAAAAAGAGAACAUGUCUUCUCCUAAUAGAACUAGACAUGAAGCUAUGAUCUUACACCAGUUAUGUUCUAAUGCUAAUGCUUUUAGGUAUAAUCCUAAAAUGUCUAAGUUUUUCCAAAUAAAAUGGCAACCUCCUUUAAAUAAUUUUGUUAAGCUGAGCUUUGAUGGUGUUGUUAAGAAUGGUAAGGCUCGAUUGGUUUUGUUAUUAGGAAUUUUGAUGGAAAUCCUGUAGUUGCUUCUUGCAGGACUAUUGGAUCUACUAAUAUCUUAGUUGCAGAGGCUACUGCCCUAAGGGAAGGUCUUCACACUGCUGCUCUUCAAAAGCUUUCUCAUGUAAUUGUGGAAGGUGAUUCAAAGCUCUUGAUUGACUGCAUUUUGGGCAAUGCUUCAGUACCUUGGAUAAUCAGAUUGUUAGUAAGAGAUACUAAGCUGUUCAAGCCAUAAUUUUCAAGCAUGGUUUUAGAGAAGCUAAUUUUGUUGCUAAUCAUUUAGCCUCCCUAGCCUACAGUCAUCAGACUCUAAGAUCUGGUUCUAUUGUUUUCCCAAUUCUGUGUCCCCAGCAUUCUAUUUGGAUCAGCUGGAAAGGGGAGUUGUUAGAGAUUUUUCCUUUUGCUUGUAAGUUUGUUUCUGUUUCAAUAAAAAAAAAAAAAAGAGAGAGAGAGAGAGAGAACAUCCAUUUACUCGCAAUGGGGGUUAACAGGAUGUCAGAUUCACAGCCCUUGCAAUAGAAUUGAUAAAUUCUGAAAACACAUCUGACAGUAAUGAUUUUCAAAAGAAAGCCCAUAUUUAAAUUUGAUUUAACUGAACAACUUUGAAAUGAUGGAGUAUUAUUUCAAAAUUCACUCGGUGAAUCACUCAUCAUAACUACAUCGUACAUAUAUAGAACAUCAUCUCAGAGGCUAGAUGGGCAAAUUGUAGAGUGAAAACUUGGGGAUGACCUAAUUAAAAACCUUUUUUUUCUUUUGGAUGAUACAAUGUUGCUAAUCCCUCAUUUCUUUAAGUUUUUGCUCAACUCUGUAAGCCAGAUGUUGCAUCACAUAUUAUUUUUCCAGUCAUUCCCACAUUCAACACAGAACUACAAGAAAAGUACACGUCCAGAAAUAUUUGGCUCCAAGAGACCGAUCAAAUUUGUCAAAGUGCAGAACUUUAUGUAGAAAUGGA